CUGAUCCAGCCUACAGAGCAAGCUUCCACGCCACUGGCCUGUGACACACGUUUUCCCCCUGCGGAUGACAUACCCAGAGAGCACGCUGCAUUUCAAAGGAGGGGUUGUUAAUUAAUAGCGUCUUGUGAUUAUGCGCAUGCCAGGGUGGCGCCCAUGGAGUAUCUCCGUCCCUUCCUGCUGCGGUCUGAUUGUGAAGGGCCAAAGUGCGCGCGGCACGGGAGACGCGCAAGCCACUCUGCCACGGUUAUUUUUAUGGGAAAGCUGUUGCCGGAGACUUUGGAUUUGAUCAAAGGCAUGGAGGGCAGUGUGGGGGACUCACUCUUUUGCCCCAGUCCUUCCACCCCACCCUUUUCGUGGUGUAAUGCUCAGGGGACGUGCUUUUCCUCCUGGGGCUGGACAAGGGCCACUGAACUGGAGGAGAAUCCCAAUAAGAGAGUGAUCCUGCUCCGAGAGGGUCCCAACUGCAGGAACUGGGUUGUUUGCCUCUGCUGGGAGGGGCAGCACUCUUUUGGAAGUGCUCCUGCAGCUGCUUCCGCUCUGGAUCUCAGCAACAGGGAAUGCCAACCACCCGCUCCGGCCGGUGCACCAGACCCACCUAUUCCAGGAUCAGGCCUGCUGAUCCAUGCAUGGCCACCUCCUUCAUGUGCCCCGUGGGGCAGUUUAGCGGCCAAGGCUUGUGCAGGGAACAGCUGCUGGCAAAGCGAGGCCGUUGUCCUUCAAAGCCCGGCACAGCUCGGGACCCGGACGGCUGGCAGGCGGCCUUGCCCAGCUGGGCCAGGGUCAUCCAGGGAAGCCUCGCUGGUCAUUCCAAAUGUACAGAACCAUCGCUGCGGGAUGCCCCUGUGUGGGUUUUCUGGGUUGCAGCACCCAACUCUGUGGGAAAAAACCUUCUGCAGUUUGGGGGCCAGAAAAGCAGACAUCUUUCAACCCCCUCUUGAAAAGGCACCUUAAUUAACACAAUGUAUUUUAUUGUUUUAAGCCUUUUAGAAGUGCUCUCGGGUUAGCCACAGUGCCAUGUUCUUACAGAAAGGCAGUGUAUAAGUCUAAAACUUCAUCUAAGUGGGGGUACCCACAAACCUCCUUCUCAGUGCCCCUUUUUUCUGCUCAGCUCCUUGCCUCUCUUGAUAUUUUAUUUUAUUAUUUCAUUUCAUUUCAUUUUUCAUUUUUAUGGUUUUAAGCAGUAACUCAUACUUUUAACUGGGAGGCCAACCGAUGGCAAAGCAAAACAGGGCCCUCUGAGUUCACCUGGAUUUAAAAGAGUGUUUUCAAAGGUAUGAACUUGGCUUCGUAAUUAGGCUCUUGGGAAAGGGAGGCUUCCUGUAGGCACACUGGUUUGCCCCCUGGGUGCUUUGUGCCCUCCGGCAGGCAGCCUUCCUAUGGCUGGGCAAGCCCUGCCCCACUGCAGCCAUUCUCUGAUGGCACUCUCAAAAUUGCAGAUGUGCCCAGCGGCCCAAACGUUUGCCGUUUGCUCUCCAAGCCCGGCUGCUAUCGGAGAACCUCGGUGGGAGCCACUGAGGUGGUUUUUGCUCCACCCUUGAAAUUUAGCCCCUCCGACACUUUUCAAGCUGCAUUGAGUUCAGGAGGGCCACUGACUGUCAGCUUGGACUACACCUAGCAGUACCUCUGUUGGGUUUUUCCCAUCCCCUAACUGGUCUGACCGAAGAUGCCAGAUAUUAAACACAGGGCUAUCCACAGAUAAUGUGGAUGUUCUACCAUGGAAAAUCGAUUGUAAGGAAGAUGAGGUUUUAAUGUAGGUUUUAUUCACUGGAUUUAUUGGAUGCUCUGCUUUAUUUUUAUCUGUUUUUAUUGUAAGACCAUCCUGAGACAGUUGUAGUUGGACAGUAUAGAAAAGUGCUAGCUAAAUAAAUAAAUAAAGGUGGGCUCACUAGUGAGAGGUGGGGGCAAAAAAAAGAGAACGUGGCCUUCUCUGCAUAGAUUCGAAGCUGGUUCCUGCCAAUUCCCCUGUACAGCCAUUCUUGAUUGAAUGCCCUGUUCUUUGCUUUUCGUCUGGGAACUCCUGCCUUUCUUGUGUGCAUGAAGUUCUUUAACUGAAUAGUUGAAUUGUAGGACACUUGCAGGAACAGGCCAGCAGUCCAUCGAGCCUGGCGCCCAGUUCCCCUCAGGGUGCUCCCAGGAGGAAGAAAGAUCCCAGGGGAUGGUCUGAACAUUUCUACCAGUUGGUCUUUAUUGUGAUUUUCACCAAAACAAACAAACAAAAUAUCCAGAUGAAAAUGAGGAAGGAAAAAGAAGACACCUGGAUAAAUUAUACAGAUAUAUCAGCUUCAGCAAAGGGUUGCAGCAUGCAAAAAAUCACAACAGCUAUUGCAGAAGCUGAAAUCGCUUGGAACCUGCCCGCAAUUUCUCCAUGCGCACAGGAGUCACAGAACAUGAAAGACGAGUGGCAUCAUGUUCUCUCCCAGCAAGUAGAAUUUGUGCUAACCUGUUUAUGACAGGCAUGUUGAGAAAAAGGUGAACGUCCCAGUGAGAUUUUGGCAAACUCUCUUACGUGGCAGGGAGGUCAAAAUGCAAUUGCCGCCAGGAAAGAGGACAUGGCUAACAGAAUUGCUCCUCCUGCAGAGAUGAAUUUCUAAUUUUCAAGUUGAUUUGGUCUAUACGGUAAAGAUGGUAAAAUGAUCAGAGCAGAAUAGUAUGUGUUUUUCUCAUGGGAGAGUCUUCUGGGAAUAGACCUUUCACAGUGGUGGCCUCUUCCAGCUCCUGUGUGAGCAAAGGAAAUCACAGAGGCGACGGUAAACAUAAGUAACAAGAAAUUUCUUGGUCUAGGAGGGAUUCCCACUAAGCAGUGUGAAACCUCCUUUAGCCUUCCAGUUUCAUAACAACUGCAUUUUUAUACCUCUGUGUCUGCACCAGGCUCCCUCUCUGGGUGGUUAAAUUAUGCUUUUAUUAUGUGGUUUACAAGCCUGGCAAGCAUUACAUUUUUUGUGCUUUUAGCCCAUCUCAUUAAUGACUCUUGGUAUUAAAAUAUUAACUGCAGUCCUGGCUGAGACCACAAAAGGUUAUUACUCUGCCUGAUUGUGUGAGAUUCAUUAAACAUAGGCAGGGGGUUAAUAAUCUCAGAUUAGUUAUUUAACAGGGUUAAAUGCAGACAGAAAAUAUGAGGUUGCUGUUGUUUCCUUGUCAUUUAGAAAAAUUCAUUGGAAAAUUAUAUAUUUAUUUAUUUAU
Varanus komodoensis (Komodo dragon) is the source of this 3180-nucleotide long non-coding RNA. RefSeq lists it as uncharacterized. The transcript has 2 exons. Lineage: Eukaryota; Metazoa; Chordata; Lepidosauria; Squamata; Varanidae. The record is from RefSeq and is a predicted model, not a curated record.